This 219-nucleotide long non-coding RNA is filed under the name Mus spicilegus (steppe mouse). Its description in RNAcentral is "lncRNA (ENSMSIG00000025642.1)". Lineage: Eukaryota; Metazoa; Chordata; Mammalia; Rodentia; Muridae. The record is from RNAcentral.
GCUCACUUUGGAACAUGAGUAGCUGGGGUAAUGUCUGGCUUAUGGAUAUGUCCUAAUUUUUCUCCAUUGUUUUCUAUCACCACAGAUGGAUGAAAAAUAAGUCCUGCAAUGAGAAAGAUUCUGGACAGUAUAUCUUUAAAUAACAUAGAGCAUCCUUACAUGGAGUCUCUCUCAACAGACUGGAGUAAGACUGGAGCAAGGAACUUUUGCAGACAUUAG